UACGUAGGGUGCAAGCGUUGUCCGGAAUUAUUGGGCGUAAAGAGCUCGUAGGCGGUCUGUCGCGUCUGCUGUGAAAACCUAGGGCUUAACUCUGGGCGUGCAGUGGGUACGGGCAGGCUAGAGUGCGGUAGGGGGAGACUGGAAUUCCUGGUGUAGCGGUGAAAUGCGCAGAUAUCAGGAGGAACACCGGUGGCGAAGGCGGAACUCUGGGCCGGAACGACGCUGAGGAGCGAAAGCGUGGGGAGCGAACAGG
RNAcentral lists this ribosomal RNA (253 nucleotides) under uncultured bacterium. RNAcentral describes it as "partial 16S ribosomal RNA". It matches the Rfam family "Bacterial small subunit ribosomal RNA", at positions 524 to 776 of the family's 1533-position model. The record is from RNAcentral.